Molecule: small nuclear RNA, 105 nt
Organism: Pipistrellus kuhlii (Kuhl's pipistrelle)
Lineage: Eukaryota; Metazoa; Chordata; Mammalia; Chiroptera; Vespertilionidae
Source: RefSeq, a predicted model, not a curated record
GCACUCACUUCAGUGGCACAUCCAGUAAAAUGGAAGGAAACAGAGAAGAUAGCAUGGACCCUGCACAAAGAUAACACCCAAAUGUAUCAAGCAUUCCAAAUUUAA